ACCGCAAACCGACACAGGUAGGUGAGGAGAGAAUCCUAAGGCCGGCGGAAGAAUUACAGUUAAGGAACUCGGCAAAUUGACCCCGUAAGUUCGCGAGAAGGGGUGCCUACGAGAGUAGGCCGCAGAGAAUAGGCCCAAGCAACUGUUUAGCAAAAACACAGGUCUCUGCUAAAGCGUAAGCUGAUGUAUAGGGGCUGACGCCUGCCCGGUGCUGGAAGGUUAAGGGGAACACUUAGCGCAAGCGAAGGUGUGAACUUAAGCCCCAGUAAACGGCGGCCGUAACUAUAACGGUCCUAAGGUAGCGAAAUUCCUUGUCAGGUAAGUUCUGACCCGCACGAAUGGCGUAAUGACUUGGGCACUGUCUCAACUGUAAAUCCGGCGAAGUUGUAGUGCGAGUGAAGAUGCUCGCUACCCGCGAUUGGACGGAAAGACCCCGUAGAGCUUUACUGUAGCUUAGCAUUGAGUUUUGGUAUUGUCUGUACAGGAUAGGUGGGAGACUAGGAAACCAGGGCGUCAGCCUUGGUGGAGUCAACCUUGGGAUACCACCCUGACAGUACUGAAAUUCUAACUGGCGGCCAUGAAUCUGGUCACAGGACAUUGUUAGGUGGGCAGUUUGACUGGGGCGG
Molecule: ribosomal RNA, 626 nt
Filed under: Clostridium perfringens
Lineage: Bacteria; Bacillati; Bacillota; Clostridia; Eubacteriales; Clostridiaceae
Description: bacterial LSU rRNA
Rfam family: Bacterial large subunit ribosomal RNA
Source: RNAcentral